CACGUAGGGAGCAAGCGUUGUCCGGAAUCAUUGGCGUAAAGCGCGCGUAGGUGGUCCCGUAAGUCCGCUGUGAAAGUCAAAGGCUCAACCUUUGAAAGCCGGUGGAUACUGUGGGACUAGAGUACGGAAGAGGCGAGUGGAAUUCCUGGUGUAGCGGUGAAAUGCGCAGAUAUCAGGAGGAACACCGGUGGCGAAGGCGGUUCUCUGGGCAUGUCCUGACGCUGAGGAGCAAAAGUGUGGGGAGCGAACAGG
RNAcentral lists this ribosomal RNA (252 nucleotides) under uncultured bacterium. RNAcentral's name for it is "partial 16S ribosomal RNA". It matches the Rfam family "Bacterial small subunit ribosomal RNA", at positions 524 to 776 of the family's 1533-position model. The record is from RNAcentral.